AGCAGUAGCCGCGGUAAUACGUAGGGUGCAAGCGUUAAUCGGAAUUACUGGGCGUAAAGCGUGCGCAGGCGGUUUGUUAAGACAGAUGUGAAAUCCCCGGGCUCAACCUGGGAACUGCAUUUGUGACUGGCAAGCUAGAGUGUGGCAGAGGGGGGUGGAAUUCCGCGUGUAGCAGUGAAAUGCGUAGAUAUGCGGAGGAACACCGAUGGCGAAGGCAGCCCCCUGGGCCAACACUGACGCUCAUGCACGAAAGCGUGGGGAGCAAACAGGAUUAGAUACCCCCGUAGUCCCUGUCUCUUAUAA
RNAcentral lists this ribosomal RNA (303 nucleotides) under uncultured bacterium. RNAcentral describes it as "partial 16S ribosomal RNA". It matches the Rfam family "Bacterial small subunit ribosomal RNA", at positions 507 to 809 of the family's 1533-position model. The record is from RNAcentral.